RNAcentral lists this ribosomal RNA (679 nucleotides) under Papiliotrema rajasthanensis. RNAcentral's name for it is "eukaryotic LSU rRNA". It matches the Rfam family "Eukaryotic large subunit ribosomal RNA", at positions 1 to 667 of the family's 3401-position model. Lineage: Eukaryota; Fungi; Basidiomycota; Tremellomycetes; Tremellales; Rhynchogastremaceae. The record is from RNAcentral.
UCUGACCUCAAAUCAGGUAGGACUACCCGCUGAACUUAAGCAUAUCAAUAAGCGGAGGAAAAGAAACUAACAAGGAUUCCCCUAGUAACGGCGAGUGAACCGGGAAGAGCUCAAAUUUGAAAUCUGGCGUCCUCAGGGCGUCCGAGUUGUAAUCUAUAGAGGCGUUUUCCGUGCCGGACCGUGUCCAAGUUCCUUGGAACAGGAUAUCAAAGAGGGUGACAAUCCCGUACUUGACACGAUGACCGGUGCUCUGUGAUACGUCUUCUACGAGUCGAGUUGUUUGGGAAUGCAGCUCAAAAUGGGUGGUGAGUUCCAUCUAAAGCUAAAUAUUGGCGAGAGACCGAUAGCGAACAAGUACCGUGAGGGAAAGAUGAAAAGCACUUUGGAAAGAGAGUUAAACAGUACGUGAAAUUGUUGAAAGGGAAACGAUUGAAGUCAGUCGUGACUGAGAGGCUCAGCCGGUUCUGCCGGUGUAUUCCCCUCAGUCGGGUCAACAUCAGUUUUGUCCGGUGGAAAAGGGCGGUAGGAACGUGGCACCUCCGGGUGUGUUAUAGCCUGCCGUCGCAUACAUCGGGUGAGACUGAGGAAUGCAGCUCGCCUUUAUGGCCGGGGUUCGCCCACGUCCGAGCUUAGGAUGUUGACAUAAUGGCUUUAAACGACCCGUCUUGAAACACGGACC